CGGCGGACGGGUGAGUAACACGUGGAUAACCUACCUAUAAGACUGGGAUAACUUCGGGAAACCGGAGCUAAUACCGGAUAACAUGUUGAACCGCAUGGUUCAACAGUGAAAGACGGUCUUGCUGUCACUUAUAGAUGGAUCCGCGCCGCAUUAGCUAGUUGGUAAGGUAACGGCUUACCAAGGCAACGAUACGUAGCCGACCUGAGAGGGUGAUCGGCCACACUGGAACUGAGACACGGUCCAG
Molecule: ribosomal RNA, 244 nt
Filed under: uncultured Staphylococcus sp.
Lineage: Bacteria; Bacillati; Bacillota; Bacilli; Caryophanales; Staphylococcaceae
Description: partial 16S ribosomal RNA
Rfam family: Bacterial small subunit ribosomal RNA
Source: RNAcentral